This 461-nucleotide ribosomal RNA is filed under the name Monodaeus couchii. Its description in RNAcentral is "partial 16S ribosomal RNA". It matches the Rfam family "Bacterial large subunit ribosomal RNA", at positions 1951 to 2613 of the family's 2925-position model. The record is from RNAcentral. Lineage: Eukaryota; Metazoa; Arthropoda; Malacostraca; Decapoda; Xanthidae. RNAcentral also lists the same sequence under 1 other name.
CAAAGGUAGCAUAAUCAUUAGUUUUUUAAUUGGGAACUGGUAUGAAGGGUUGGACAAAGGAAGGACUGUCUUUAAAAUAUAAUUUGAAAUUUACUUUUAAGUGAAAAGGCUUAAAUAUAUCUAGGGGACGAUAAGACCCUAUAAAGCUUUAUAUAUUAUUUAGAUUUGGUUGAUUUAUAAAAUAAAAAUUAGGUUUGAUUAUUUUAUUUUGUUGGGGCGACAUAAGUAUAAUUUAUAUUAACUGCUUAGAAAAUAUACAAUUAUAAGUGAUUUAAAUGUGCAUGAUCCUAUUUAAAGAUUAAAAGACUAAGUUACUUUAGGGAUAACAGCGUUAUUUCUUUUGAGAGUUCAUAUCGAAAAAGAAGUUUGCGACCUCGAUGUUGAAUUAAAAUAUCUAUAUAAUGCAGCUGUUAUAAGAGAAGGUCUGUUCGACCUUUAAAUUUUUACAUGAUUUGAGUUCA